Chiroxiphia lanceolata (lance-tailed manakin) is the source of this 536-nucleotide long non-coding RNA. RefSeq lists it as uncharacterized. The record is from RefSeq and is a predicted model, not a curated record. The transcript has 5 exons. NCBI's taxonomy places the organism in Eukaryota, Metazoa, Chordata, Aves, Passeriformes, Pipridae.
AGCCUUUGCAGGUCCAGAGGGAAAGAACACAGGUGGUUAUCCUCUUCGUGUUAGCCAAGCCUAUGUUAAGGACUGGGAUUCUGAGCAUACCCAAAUCUAUAUGAAUCACUUCGAGUUGGUGACAAUGACUGCUAGAAAAAGAAGUUCCUCAAAGAGGUUUCUCACAGAGGUGUUUCACAGGGGCCCUUCUCUUGUCAAAAACUCCGUGAUGACUUUUAACCUUGAGUUUGUGUCAAAGAGUCAAACCUCUGCUUGUGCUGAUGUAAAGAGAAGCUUGAAGUGCUUCAGUAUUGCUCCAUGGGAUGCACCAGGAGGGUCAGCCCAGGCUUUCAACUCUUUGCUCUGGUCUAACAGUGUAGCUGCCAUAUUUCUAGUGCAGAGAACUAUGACAAGCUCCUACCAAUGUCUGGGGUUGUUUCCACCUGUGCAGAGCCUUCGACAGUGCAGGAAAAGGCCUUGAGUGAAGAACAAAUAGCUCCUCAGAUGCAGGAGCAACAACCUAGCCAGCAGCAAGCAGGGGAACAAACAGUGGAGCA